ACAAUGUUCCUCAUAAACGCUACAGUUUUGCCUCCAUUGUCUUUCUCCUUUCCUCCUUGGUUCCUGUAAAAGGGAAAACCGAAAACCCCUUUUGUAUCACGACCCUCUCCGCCUCUGGCGUUACCCACUUUAUGCUUCUUCUUCAACAUUGGAUUUCAAUGUUGGACUUGUGAAGAAUAAGAAAGGGUUUCUGACUUCUUGUCCAAUAAGUUUCGAUUUUAUUUCUGUUCAAAAUAAAGUUGCAACUUCGCAUCCAAUUAUAUUGAAAUUGUUUCUUACCCAUUCACUUUGUUACCUAACAAUUGUGUAUUUUCAAUACAAUUCAAUCAAGAAUUCAGGUCUCAAUAAUUUAAUCCUAUGAAGAAGGGCAAAGAAUAUAAGAGAAGAUUGGAAAGUUUGAUUGAGUUGGAUAAAAUUAGCGAGACUAGGGUUCAAGAUGUAGCUUGGCUCUGUUCACUUUCACAAUCUGAGAUUGAUAUGCUGAUUAGCUUGAAAUUGUUGAUAAGUAAGCGAGCAACAAAGAUAGGAUGUAAGAAAUUGGCCGAUCAAUUUGACCUUAAGAUGCUUCGAGGCAUUGGUUGUCUCUGGUGUAUGUUGGACUGUGUAAUGCCCCGAUUGAGUCACUAUUGCAUAGAUAAAAUGAAUUGCUGGAGAAUGAAUGUCGUAAUCUCUAUAGCACCGACACUUCUGAUUGAAUGCAUGUCCUGCAUUUGUUUUGAUGGAAAAUCUCAAAGCAGAGAUAAAAGACUCAUCUCUUAUACCAGAUAUGGUGAAAUCUUCUGAUUUUUUAGAUGCGUGCAACCUACUGAACUGUAAUAACGAGGUUUCUUCAACUGUUGAAGAGCUAAGUACAAGUGUUGGUGCCGAUAUACAACCAAUUCUUCAAGGACAUGUAAAUUCACCUUCUUUUAAACGAAAGAAGCAUAAAGUUGGUCGCACCAAUUUCCAAAUGAAAGAAGCCGAAAGUUGGUCGCAGUGAGUAAAAGAUUUUGCUCUUCAAGGAUGACUUGAAGGAUUUAGCUUAUGAACUUUGCUGGGGAAACACUGAUUUUGAUUUUUGAGUGACCUUAUUGGCUAAUAUACACAUGAGUGUUUUAAUUUUCGAUAAUCUUUGCUGCUAUUUGCAUGACAGAUAAAUAGUUUGAGCAUAUAAGUUGGAUGAAUUUAGAAAGCUGUUGAAAGAAUGUGAGGCAAGUGCACGAGUCCAUGCAUAAGUGGGUGGGAUUUUAGGAUAGAAUUACUUAUAGGAUAAAUGAAUAUUCUUUCAUAGCGUUUGGUUUUAGGAUAGUUACUUUAGACUACCUGAUGUUGACAUUGAUCGAAUUGUCUUGGCAAGAUCAGAUAUUAUAUUUAUUGAAGGGAGGACAAGCUUUA
This is a non-coding RNA of Cicer arietinum (chickpea), 1374 nucleotides long. Lineage: Eukaryota; Viridiplantae; Streptophyta; Magnoliopsida; Fabales; Fabaceae. The record is from RefSeq and is a predicted model, not a curated record.